Pelobates cultripes (western spadefoot toad) is the source of this 220-nucleotide non-coding RNA. The record is from the annotation of a GenBank genome assembly. Lineage: Eukaryota; Metazoa; Chordata; Amphibia; Anura; Pelobatidae.
GUAAUUGACACAAAUUUAUUUUCUGUACUGCAAAUUACUAUUUUUUUUUUUUUUUAUAUAUCAUUGUUGUAUUUUUUAUUAUUUUUACCGUGCUAGGAGGACCAGACUGAACAACGAAGGAACAACGUAUGCACGCGAAGCGCUAAAGAGGGGGGGAAAGUACUCACCAGACGCAGAAGGACGAGGCAAAGAAACAACAGUACCAGCAUCCAUAAACGAC